UGGGGGAUAUUGCACAAUGGGCGAAAGCCUGAUGCAGCGACGCCGCGUGGGGGAUGAAGGCCUUCGGGUUGUAAACUUCUUUUGCUCUGAACAAGGCAUGCUAAUGGGUGUGUUGAGUGUGGGGGUUGAUUAGCGCCGGCUAACUACGUGCCAGCAGCCGCGGUAAUACGUAGGGCGCGAGCGUUGUCCGGAAUUAUUGGGCGUAAAGGGCUUGUAGGUGGCUGGUUGCGUCUGUCGUGAAAGCUCAUGGCUUAACUGUGGGUUUGCGGUGGGUACGGGCUGGCUUGAGUGCAGUAGGGGAGGCUGGAAUUCCUGGUGUAGCGGCGGAAUGCGCAGAUAUCAGGAGGAAUACCGGUGGCGAAGGCGGGUCUCUGGGCUGUUACUGACACUGAGGAGCGAAAGCAUGGGGAGCGAACAGG
This 419-nucleotide ribosomal RNA is filed under the name bacterium. RNAcentral's name for it is "partial 16S ribosomal RNA". It matches the Rfam family "Bacterial small subunit ribosomal RNA", at positions 355 to 776 of the family's 1533-position model. The record is from RNAcentral.